UUCUAUGGUCUGGGGGACCCUGUCUUCCUUCUGUGGUUCUACUUCUUUACACACACACUGUAAUAAAGUUUUAUGGAAUGUACAUCGCGUCUAACGCAAUACAAUACAACUUUCAGCAACGGAUCUCUUGGCUCUCGCAUCGAUGAAGAACGCAGCGAAAUGCGAUAAGUAAUGUGAAUUGCAGAAUUCAGUGAAUCAUCGAAUCUUUGAACGCACCUUGCGCCCCUUGGCUAUUCCGAGGGGCAUGCCUGUUUGAGUAUCAUGAACACCUCAACUCUCAUGGUUUGCCAUGAUGAGUUGGACUCUGGGGGUUUUGCUGGCCUGUGGUCGGCUCCUCUUAAAUUAAUCAGCCUCCCAGUGUUUGGUGGCAUCAYGGGUGUGAUAAAUAUCUACGCUCGCUGUUGUCUGCCAGGUAACCUUUGGUAACAAAGGUUUGCUGGAGCUCACAGAUGUCUCUCCUCAGCGAGGACAACUUUUUUAACGUUCGAUCUCAAAUCAGGUAGGACUACCCGCUGAACUUAAGCAUAUCAAUAAGCGGAGGAAAAGAAACUAACAAGGAUUCCCCUAGUAACUGCGAGUGAAGCGGGAAAAGCUCAAAUUUAAAAUCUGGCGUGCCUCUGGUCGUCCGA
Molecule: small RNA, 629 nt
Filed under: uncultured fungus
Lineage: Eukaryota; Fungi
Description: eukaryotic LSU rRNA
Rfam family: 5.8S ribosomal RNA (bases 108-262)
Source: RNAcentral